Schistosoma rodhaini is the source of this 45-nucleotide non-coding RNA. The record is from Rfam. NCBI's taxonomy places the organism in Eukaryota, Metazoa, Platyhelminthes, Trematoda, Strigeidida, Schistosomatidae.
AUCCAGUUGACGAGUCCCAAAUAGGAUGAGAAGCGUGUCCUGGAU